AAGACUAUACCUUCAGGGAUCAUUUCUAUCGUUUGUUACUAGUAUCGUUUGUUACUGAACAUGUAGAGUACCUGAAACUAUGAGGAGAGGGUGCAGUGUUCCUUCCUGUGAAGCUCACUCUGGGUGUUGUCUUCGCAGCUGCCCUUGGUCAUUGAUAAUCGUUCUUCUCCUCCUUUGGGGGAGUAAGAGGGAAGAGACACUGAGUAGU
Molecule: small nucleolar RNA, 208 nt
Filed under: Panthera tigris altaica (Amur tiger)
Lineage: Eukaryota; Metazoa; Chordata; Mammalia; Carnivora; Felidae
Description: Small nucleolar RNA U3 (ENSPTIG00000001779.1)
Rfam family: Small nucleolar RNA U3
About the family: Small nucleolar RNAs (snoRNAs) are involved in the processing and modification of rRNA in the nucleolus. There are two main classes of snoRNAs: the box C/D class, and the box H/ACA class.
Source: Rfam by way of RNAcentral